This 509-nucleotide ribosomal RNA is filed under the name uncultured bacterium. Its description in RNAcentral is "partial 16S ribosomal RNA". It matches the Rfam family "Bacterial small subunit ribosomal RNA", at positions 28 to 523 of the family's 1533-position model. The record is from RNAcentral.
GACGAACGCUGGCGGCGUGCCUAACACAUGCAAGUGGAGCGACGAACCGGGCUUCGGCCCGGAGCAAAGCCGCGAACGGGUGAGUAACGCGUGGGUAACCUGCCCCAAUGACUGGGACAACCCGAGGAAACUCGGGCUAAUACCGGAUGUGUACCCAGACCUUCUGGUCUGUGUGCAAAGGAAGCUUCGGCCUCCGCAUUGGGAUGGGCCCGCGUCCCAUUAGCUUGUUGGUGGGGUAACGGCUUACCAAGGCGAUGAUGGGUAGCUGGUCUGGAAGGACGAGCAGCCACACUGGGACUGGGACACGGCCCAGACUCCUACGGGAGGCAGCAGUGGGGAAUCUUGCGCAAUGCGCGAAAGCGUGACGCAGCAACGCCGCGUGAGGGAAGAAGGUCUUCGGAUUGUAAAGCACUUAAAGUUGGGAGGAAGGGCAGUAAGUUAAUACCUUGCUGUUUUGACGUUACCGACAGAAUAAGCACCGGCUAACUCUGUGCCAGCAGCCGCAGUAA